GAGAAGGUGCCAGGCAGUGUCCCCUUUAUGACAGAAAUCAAGAAAUCCUUUUGAUUAAUCAGUAUGGCUUUGGUUGUGUUUUUCUGUAUUCUUCUCAGCUUCUGUGCAGGUGUCGAUUCCCAGCCAACAGUGACUCAACCUGCCUCCCAAUCGGUGUCUCCUGGACAAACAACAACCCUUUCCUGCUCCAAAAGCAGUGGCAGCUGGGGCAGUUACGUUUACUGGCUUCAACAGAAACCUGGGCAACCGCCUCGCUUUGUCCAUUGCGAUGGCUGUAGCAGCAGAGGAGCAGGGAUCCCCGACCGCUUCACUGCCUCUGCUUCAGGGAACUCGGGAUCUCUAAGAAUCACCAACGUUGAGGCUGGAGACGAGGCCAUUUAUUACUGCUAUGUCUGGUCUAGCAGUGCUCGCGUCUUCCACGGUGGUUCAUCCUGACAGGGAACUGAGACA
Molecule: non-coding RNA, 450 nt
Organism: Pogona vitticeps (central bearded dragon)
Lineage: Eukaryota; Metazoa; Chordata; Lepidosauria; Squamata; Agamidae
Source: the annotation of a RefSeq genome assembly